AUCUGGUGGUGACAAAUAUGCAAUGUUGUUCUGCAGUGCUUUCAUAUUAUUGCAAGCGACUCAACAAUAUUGCAUAGAUUAAAGGAAGAAGUAUAAAGGCGUAACCUCUGGAGGUUUUGAGGUCUUACGUGCGAUAUUCUUUUAACACUUUGAACCCUGUUUCCACGGCGGUAAUAGUUGGCCGAUACUGUUACCUAUCCACAAACAGGCAGAAAAAGACCGAGCACUUCGAUAUUGUCUGUUAGGACAAGCUCACCUUUCAGACACUUUUUGUUGCAACAUUU
This is a non-coding RNA of Electrophorus electricus (electric eel), 284 nucleotides long. The record is from Ensembl. Lineage: Eukaryota; Metazoa; Chordata; Actinopteri; Gymnotiformes; Gymnotidae.